Hippocampus comes (tiger tail seahorse) is the source of this 1334-nucleotide long non-coding RNA. RefSeq lists it as uncharacterized. NCBI's taxonomy places the organism in Eukaryota, Metazoa, Chordata, Actinopteri, Syngnathiformes, Syngnathidae. The transcript has 8 exons. The record is from RefSeq and is a predicted model, not a curated record.
AUUGUCCUCUUACUACGAAACGUCGAAAAGGCUUUCAAAUUUUCGAUCUGUAAACAUUUUUGUCAUUGUUAAUCGAUCAUAUUCGUUCUUUUCGUCUAAAGUUGAACUAUUUAAUGCGGAAUGGGUAUCUGAUGUUGGUUUAAAGUGGCACACUUUGCAAGGCCUGCACCACGUGCUAUAGGCAAAUGUAACAGGCUAACAGCCGCUUUUUGGUAACUCCCAUCGACUUCACGUAAAUAUGACUUCGUUUUACUUCGUCCCAUUGCUAUAUGAUGAUAAAGUGUUGGUAGGGACAUCUGAAUGGAUGUGAAGAAACGCCAACUACCCUGACAGCGUGGGGACGCAUCCGCGAGUGAAGCUACACGUUAGCCUGUUUGCUAAAGCUAACGUCUAUUCUGAGUCGAUUUCCUAUCUGACAAGCUUUUUUUUUCCCCCUUUUACAGUUUCACGACUCCCAAGAUGCGGCAAGCAACUGAAUUGAAGCACUUUUGGAGGCCGCAUCAAAGACCGGAGUCGUUAAAAAUGCUCCACUUGGGGUGUGAUUCACCUGACUGACAUCAGAGUUAGCUGCUUUCCCUGCCAUCUGCUACCUGGUGCUUAGUCUUGUCAUUUGAUUGCAGGUGUUGUCCUGGCUUAUAUUCAGGUAAGAUUUUAGUAUUUUUUUAAUGACCUUUAAAAUGGCUGACUAAAAUGAUGAGUUCAUAGUUCAACAGAUACUCUGUGAAGAUAACUAUUCGCCCCUAUCUGACAUGUUGGCCUACGCAACAUCUCAGGCACAAACGCAAGAUGUGAUUCUAAUUUUUUAAUUUUCCCUUAUAGGUUAAAAGACAGACUGCACGGUACGUUGACUUGAAUAUUUUAUCUACUAGAUUUAGCACAAUGAUGACUUCAUAGUUCAGCGGAUAAUUAGUGAUGACUACUUUUCGCUCCUAUCUGAUGUGUGGCUUGAAUACAUUGUUCACAUAAAAUUGUAAGGGGCACUGUUAAAUUUGUUCCCUUUUCUCUCAUCCAGGCUUCAUGAAGCUAUGCUGAAAGAAUGGAGCAUUCACUUGCAUGAUUGCUGAGGAAAGAGUUUGACUGCAUUCUGCAAAAGUCAUCACUUCAGGAGCUGAGCCUACCUUGCAUGUAGAUCCCACCAUCAAAUGGAUGAAUUGAAGCAUAACUGGAAGUUGGCUGACUGAGCUCAGAAUUAAGGAGGAAGUGUGCAUCUUCAUCACUUCAUAGACAUGGGGAGGACCACAAGUGGCUUUCAUUAAUGAUGGGGCCGUAAGGGGACACUUGAACUCAUUCGAGAUGAGGCGGUGCUCAAGGAUACCUUGGCAAAAGCAACAAAC